RNAcentral lists this ribosomal RNA (1235 nucleotides) under Candidatus Phytoplasma trifolii. Its description in RNAcentral is "bacterial SSU rRNA". It matches the Rfam family "Bacterial small subunit ribosomal RNA", at positions 208 to 1450 of the family's 1533-position model. Lineage: Bacteria; Bacillati; Mycoplasmatota; Mollicutes; Acholeplasmatales; Acholeplasmataceae. The record is from RNAcentral.
CGAUGCGACUGCUAAGACUGGCUUGCGCCACAUUAGUUAGUUGGUAGGGUAAAAGCCUACCAAGACGAUGAUGUGUAGCUGGACUGAGAGGUUGAACAGCCACAUUGGGACUGAGACACGGCCCAAACUCCUACGGGAGGCAGCAGUAGGGAAUUUUCGGCAAUGGAGGAAACUCUGACCGAGCAACGCCGCGUGAACGAUUAAGUAUUUCGGUAUGUAAAGUUCUUUUAUUGAAGAAGAAAAAGUAGUGGAAAAACUAUAUUGACGUUAUUCAAUGAAUAAGCCCCGGCUAACUAUGUGCCAGCAGCCGCGGUAAGACCUAGGGGGCGAGCGUUAUCCGGAAUUAUUGGGCGUAAAGGGUGCGUAGGCUGUUAGAUAAGUCUAUAAUUUAAUUUCAGUGCUUAACGCUGUCUUGUUAUAGAAACUGUCUUGACUAGAGUGAGAUAGAGGCAAGCGGAAUUCCAUGUGUAGCGGUAAAAUGUGUAAAUAUAUGGAGGAACACCAGAAGCGUAGGCGGCUUGCUGGGUCUUUACUGACGCUGAGGCACGAAAGCGUGGGUAGCAAACAGGAUUAGAUACCCUGGUAGUCCACGCCGUAAACGAUGAGUACUAAGUGUCGGGGUAAAACUCGGUACUGAAGUUAACACAUUAAGUACUCCGCCCAAGUAGUACGUACGCAAGUAUGAAACUUAAAGGAAUUGACGGGACUCCGCACAAGCGGUGGAUCAUGUUGUUUAAUUCGAAGAUACACGAAAAAUCUUACCAGGUCUUGACAUACUCUGCAAAGCUAUAGAAAUAUAGUGGAGGUUAUCAGGGAUACAGGUGGUGCAUGGUUGUCGUCAGUUCGUGUCGUGAGAUGUUAGGUUAAGUCCUAAAACGAGCGCAACCCUUGUCGUUAAUUGCCAGCACGUAAUGGUGGGGACUUUAGCGAGACUGCCAAUUAAACAUUGGAGGAAGGUGAGGAUUACGUCAAAUCAUCAUGCCCCUUAUGAUCUGGGCUACAAACGUGAUACAAUGGCUGUGACAAAGAGUAGCUGAAACGCGAGUUUUUAGCCAAUCUCAAAAAAGCAGUCUCAGUUCGGAUUGAAGUCUGUAACUCGACUUCAUGAAGUUGGAAUCGCUAGUAAUCGCGAAUCAGCAUGUCGCGGUGAAUACGUUCUCGGGGUUUGUACACACCGCCCGUCAAACCACGAAAGUAGCAAUCCCUGUACACACCGCCCGUCACAGACCCGACUG